GACGAACGCUUGGCGGCAGGUUUCACUCAUGCAAGUCGCACGAGAACGUUCUGGCUAUUGCCAGUACAAGUACAGUGGCGGACGGGUGCGUAUCGCGUAGAUAACCUGCCCUCACGCGCGGGACAAUCACGGGAAACCGUGGCUAAUACCAUCACGUCGUCUGGACCCCUCAUGGGGACCAGAUGAAAGCUCUUUCGGGCGCCUUUGGAUGGGUCUGCGUUGUGAUUAGCUUGUUGGUGAACUAAAAGCUCACCAUGGCAACUAUCCAUACCUGGUCUGACAGGACGAUCACCCACACUGGGACUGAGACACGGCCCAAACUCCUACCGGAGGCACCACUGGGGAAUCUUGCACAAUGGGGUCACCCCUGACGCAUCCAUGCCUCGUGGAGGAAGACACCCCUAUGGCGCGUAAACUCCUUUUCUGAAUGAACAAACCCCUGUAGCUUCAGGGCGCGACGGUAUUUCACGAAUAAGCGCCCGCUAACUCCGUGCCAUCUCCCGCGCUAAUACCGAGGGUGCAAGCGUUGUCCGGAAUCACUGGGUGUAAACGGUGUGCACGCGGGGCAGCAAGUCGGAUGUGAAACCCCAUGGCUUAACCAUGGAGGUGCAUUCGAAAUUGUUGCUCUUGAGUCCAGGAGAGGCUGUCGGAAUUCGUGGUGUAGCGGUGAAAUGCGUAGAUAUCACGAGGAACACCAGAGGCGAAAGCGGACGGCUGGACGGGUACUGACGCUCAGGCACGAAAGCGUGGGGAGCAAACAGGAUUAGAUACCGUGGUAGUCCACGCAGUAAACGAUGAAUGCUGGCCGUUGCCUAGUUAGGGGGCAGUGGCUAAGAUAACGCGUUAAGCAUUCCACAUGGGGAGUACGAUCGCAAGGUUGAAACUCAAAGGAAUUGACGGGGGCCCGCACAAGCGGUGGAGCAUGUGGCUCAAUUCGAUGCAACGCGAAGAACCUUACAUAGGCUCGAACGCUAAAGGACCGCUCGUGAAAGGGAGCUUCCCCUUUGGGGCCUUUAGCGAGGUACUGCAUGGCUGUCGUCAGCUAGUGUCGUGAGAUGUUGGGUUAAGUCCCGCAACGAGAGUAACCCCUGUUGCUAGUUACCAGAGGGUAAUGCCGGGGACUCUAGCGAAACUGCUUGCGCAAGCAGUGAGGAAGGUGGGGAUGUACGUCAAGUCAUCAUGGUCCUUACGCAUAGGGCUGCAAACGUGGUACAAUGGCCGGUACAACGAGCAGCCACCUUGCAAGAAGGAGGGAAUAUCUGAAAACCGGUCCCUGAUCGGAUUGGAGUAUGCGAACUCGACUCCGUGAAGCAGGAAUCGUUAGUAAUCGGGGAAUCAGCGAUGCCGAGGUGAAUCCGUUCCCGGGCAUGGUACAACACCGCCAGUCAAAGCCGUUGGAAGAUGAGAGCGCCCCAAAGUUCCGUGCCCCAGCGCUUUGGUAGGAAGCGGCACGAGAGGUGCGCGCAGUGACGUGGUGCG
Molecule: ribosomal RNA, 1479 nt
Filed under: uncultured bacterium
Lineage: Bacteria
Description: bacterial SSU rRNA
Rfam family: Bacterial small subunit ribosomal RNA
Source: RNAcentral